Molecule: ribosomal RNA, 485 nt
Filed under: uncultured bacterium
Lineage: Bacteria
Description: bacterial SSU rRNA
Rfam family: Bacterial small subunit ribosomal RNA
Source: RNAcentral
GACGAACGCUGGCGGCGUGCUUAAUACAUGCAAGUCAACUUGACUUUAGAUAGCAAUAUCGAAAAGUAGGGUGGCGCACGGGUGCGUAACGCGUAGGUAAUCUGCCCUGAGGUCUGACAUAACCCGUCGAAAGGCGGGCUAACAUCAGAUGAUAUAUAAUCACGACAUCGUGGUAAUAUCAAAUCUUCGGAGCCUUGGGAUGAGCCUGCGUCUGAUUAGGUAGUUGGCGGAGUAAUAGCCCACCAAGCCUACGAUCAGUAGCUGGUCUGAGAGGAUGAUCAGCCACACUGGAACUGAGACACGGUCCAGACUCCUACGGGAGGCAGCAGUAAGGAAUAUUGCUCAAUGGGGGAAACCCUGAAGCAGCAACGCCGCGUGAAGGAUGAAAUACUUUGUAUGUAAACUUCUGUAAGAUGGGAAAAAUAUUACUCCUCGGGAGAAUUGAUUGUACCAUCAGAGUAAGCCCCGGCUAACUACGUGCCAGC